Molecule: ribosomal RNA, 506 nt
Filed under: uncultured bacterium
Lineage: Bacteria
Description: bacterial SSU rRNA
Rfam family: Bacterial small subunit ribosomal RNA
Source: RNAcentral
GAGUUUGAUCAUGGCUCAGAUUGAACGCUGGCGGAAUGCUUUACACAUGCAAGUCGAGCGGCAGCGCGGGGCAACCUGGCGGCGAGCGGCGAACGGGUGAGUAAUGCAUCGGAACAUGUCCAUGUCGUGGGGGAUAGCCCGGGCGAAAAGCCGGAUUAAUACCGCAUACGCUCGAGAGAGGAAAGCCGGGGACCGCAAGGCCUGGCGCGAUUGGGGUUGGCCGAUGUCCGAUUAGCUAGUUGGUGAGGUAAAGGCUUACCAAGGCGAUGAUCGGUAGCUGGUCUGAGAGGAUGAUCAGCCACACUGGGACUGAGACACGGCCCCAGACUCCUACGGGAGGCAGCAGUGGGGAAUUUUGGACAAUGGGGGCAACCCUGAUCCAGCCAUUCCGCGUGAGUGAAGAAGGCCUUCGGGUUGUAAAGCUCUUUUGUCCGGAGCGAAACGGAAGUGGUGAAUAUCCACUUCUACUGACGGUACCGGAAGAAUAAGCACCGGCUAACUACGUG